Molecule: ribosomal RNA, 495 nt
Filed under: uncultured bacterium
Lineage: Bacteria
Description: partial 16S ribosomal RNA
Rfam family: Bacterial small subunit ribosomal RNA
Source: RNAcentral
CGAACGCUGGCGGCGUGCCUAAUACAUGCAAGUCGAGCGGACGAAUCGAAAGCUUGCUUUUGAUUCGUUAGCGGCGGACGGGUGAGUAACACGUGGGCAACCUGCCCUGUAGACGGGGAUAACACCGAGAAAUCGGUGCUAAUACCGGAUAACACGAAAUGUCGCAUGACGUUUCGUUGAAAGACGGCGCAAGCUGUCGCUACAGGAUGGGCCCGCGGCGCAUUAGCUAGUUGGUGAGGUAACGGCUCACCAAGGCGACGAUGCGUAGCCGACCUGAGAGGGUGAUCGGCCACACUGGGACUGAGACACGGCCCAGACUCCUACGGGAGGCAGCAGUAGGGAAUCUUCCGCAAUGGACGAAAGUCUGACGGAGCAACGCCGCGUGAGCGAAGAAGGCCUUCGGGUCGUAAAGCUCUGUUGUUAGGGAAGAACAAGUAACGCAGUAACUGGCGUUACCGUGACGGGACCUAACGAGAAAGCCACGGCUAACUACGU